UUGGAGGGCAAGUCUGGUGCCCGCAGCCGCGGUAAUUCCAGCUCCAAUCGCGUAUAUUAAAGUUGUUGCAGUUAAAAAGCUCGUAGUUGAAUUUCGGGAUCAGAGUGUCGGUCGUGCCUCGGUACGCACUGGUAUUAUUGGUUCCUACCUUCUGAAGAACCGCGAUGUCAUUAAUUUGGUGUCGUGGGGAAUCAGGACUAUUACUUUGAAAAAAUUAGAGUGUUUAAAGCUGGCUUACGCUUGAAUACAUUAGCGUGGAAUAAUGAAAUAGGACGUCUGAUUCUAUUUUGUUGGUUUCUAGGAUUGACGCAAUGAUUAAUAGGGAUAGUUGGGGGCAUUAGUAUUCAAUUGUCAGAGGUGAAAUUCUUGGAUUUAUUGAAGACUAACUACUGCGAAAGCAUUUGCCAAGGAUGUUUUCAUUAAUCAAGAACGAAAGUUAGGGGAUCGAAGACGAUCAGAUACCGUCGUAGUCUUAACCAUAAACUAUGCCGACUAGGGAUCGGAUGAUGUUAGUUUUUUAAUGACUCAUUCGGCGCCUUACGGGAAACCAAAGUGUUUGGGUUC
RNAcentral lists this ribosomal RNA (564 nucleotides) under uncultured Glomeromycotina. Its description in RNAcentral is "SSU rRNA". It matches the Rfam family "Eukaryotic small subunit ribosomal RNA", at positions 548 to 1114 of the family's 1831-position model. Lineage: Eukaryota; Fungi; Glomeromycota. The record is from RNAcentral.